This 253-nucleotide ribosomal RNA is filed under the name uncultured bacterium. RNAcentral describes it as "partial 16S ribosomal RNA". It matches the Rfam family "Bacterial small subunit ribosomal RNA", at positions 57 to 305 of the family's 1533-position model. The record is from RNAcentral.
GCAAGUCGAACGGUAACAUUUCCAGCUUGCUGGAAGAUGACGAGUGGCGAACGGGUCCUUAACUCGUAUGCAACUUACCUCUGACCAGGGCAUAGCCCCGUGAAAACGGGAAUAAUACCCUAUAGUACCACGAAAUGACAUCUUUUUGUGGUUAAAGAUUUAUCGGUUAGAGAUGGGCAUGCGUCCCAUUAGAUUGUUGGUGAGGUAACGGCUCACCAAGUCUACGAUGGGUAGGGGGCCUGAGAGGGUUAUC